AGUUGGUUCCAACUCGAAUCAGGAAAAGAAAUCCGCAAGCUGAGCGCAGAUCACUCGCAUUCCUCAACCCCUUGGCGUCCCGCACCCUUGUCGACCGCCGGAUCCCAUGGCGAAUCGGCGUUGGCCCACGUCGUCCAGGCGCGGGAGGACCCGAUCCUUGGGACAAGCCAUCGGGAGGGACUCUGACGGUCGGAAGCCACCACUUAUCAUCUGUUCUCCGAGCAUUCCCCUUCUCGGACUCAUCAGCAUCUCUGGACACAUACCAGAACUCAUUUUGGUCUUUGAAGUUGUCUAGGUUCGCUUACGAUGAGCAUUGCAUCGAGCUUCCGCAAGGCAGGGAUAUUCAUGAGAAGGUCUUUGCGUUGCUGAGUUACCAUAAUCUGCUCAUGGCACAAAUAAGAACAUUGUAAUUUACAAUAAAACAGUACAACAACAACAACAACAAGAAAGAGAGGUGUUUUGAGUGACCUCCAUGCUGGUUCCAUCUUUGGAUAUCUGUUGGGAAGGAACAAACUGAACAAUAUGAUCCGUGACUGAUAAAAGCCAGUUUAUUUCUCUUCUCCAUCUCGCCUUCCUUUCUGCAGACAUGGGCUCCAGACGCCAUUGUUCUCCAAACACAGAAGCUGGUUCGGUCACAACAACAGACAGACGAGAGAUACUUUAGGAGAAAAACAUGGUGAUCAUUGCGCUGAUGCAGCAGGUAUGAUCUCUUAUAUUCCUAUUUGGUUAUGGAUGUGGACUAGCAGAAAGAAACCUGCAAGAUUGGUGAUGGCAUUGGAGAGAGCGAGGGCUGAGGAAACCCCUAUUCCUCCACCUGACAUGUCCUCCCCCAGAAGCAGCUUUGCAAACCUCUCCUUCAUCAACUCCAAAUCUGACAAAAGGCACCACAAAGAUUGUGAUCUUAUGAUAUCGAAAGUUGGUUCUUUUCAGGUUGCUCCUUGACACCUGCAUCCUUGCUGAACCGCGACUUGGGUGCUUGCUCCGGAGGUUGGCCGGGCGCGCUCGAUCCCUGGCUCCUAAAAAGCAUCUUGUCGUCGUCGAGUGACCCGCUCUCGAAGCCUCUUUUCAGAAACCGUACCAUCAAGGGCUCGUCCCCGAACACGGCUCAACGCACGGAGAAGGCGACGAGGUCACCGAAAGCGACAUGGGCUCCUGCACCAGCGACGGCGGCCACUUCCUGAUCUCCACUUCUAGGAGAUGAAGCCCACACCUCCACGAGCGCAGCAAGUAGAUGGAGAGAGAGCGAGAGAGAGAGGAGGAGGAGGAGGAGGAGGUGGUGGCGAGCGUGGCGUCCUGCGGGCAGUUGUGGGAGAAGAGAAGAUGAACCGCGAACGAGGAGAGAAGGCUUGAUUUGUCUCCUCGUGGUUCUUCUCCUCCUUGGCGUGGGGUGGGAUUAGGACGUGGGGUGCAUGUUUGAGGGUGGGGGAGAGAAAGAAAAAGGGGGGGGAGCUGAUGGAGGGAGGAGAAUACAACAGAAUUGUAGGCUGGUUUUGGAGGGUGUAAAGCUGGCUAAAAGCCCGGGAAAUGUGGAUAGCCUUUUGGGUUUGUUCCAUUUGUGCUCAAUAAGAUUAUUGAUUAAAUAAAAAAAUUUAUUGAUUAAAAAA
Long non-coding RNA from Musa acuminata AAA Group (dessert banana), 1604 nucleotides. RefSeq lists it as uncharacterized. The record is from RefSeq and is a predicted model, not a curated record. The transcript is spliced from 7 exons. Lineage: Eukaryota; Viridiplantae; Streptophyta; Magnoliopsida; Zingiberales; Musaceae.